AACGAACGCUGGCGGCAGGCUUAACACAUGCAAGUCGAACGGGUGUCGCAAGACAUCAGUGGCAGACGGGUGAGUAACACGUGGGAACCUUCCUAGGGGUACGGAACAACUCAGGGAAACUUGAGCUAAUACCGUAUACGUCCGUGAGGAGAAAGAUUUAUCGCCCUUAGACGGGCCCGCGUCGGAUUAGCUAGUUGGUGGGGUAACGGCCUACCAAGGCGACGAUCCGUAGCUGAUCUUAGAGGAUGAUCAGCCACACUGGGACUGAGACACGGCCCAGACUCCUACGGGAGGCAGCAGUGGGGAAUCUUGGACAAUGGGCGCAAGCCUGAUCCAGCCAUGCCGCGUGAGUGAUGAAGGCCUUAGGGUUGUAAAGCUCUUUCAGCUGGGAAGAUAAUGACGGUACCAGCAGAAGAAGCCCCGGCUAACUCCGUGCCAGCAGCCGCCGUAAAAC
Molecule: ribosomal RNA, 454 nt
Filed under: uncultured bacterium
Lineage: Bacteria
Description: bacterial SSU rRNA
Rfam family: Bacterial small subunit ribosomal RNA
Source: RNAcentral